UGCACUUUGAUUGAAGAACAUUGUAUUUUUGGUGUUAAUGUACUACAAUGUUCCAUGUUUGAUCAGUAAAAUCUGAAUGUUUAUUAUUUACUGCGUCUACUUAUCUAUUGUCAUGCACCUAUUUGAUGAUAACAAAAAGGGGAAGAAGUGUAGCAGCUAACUAAUAGAGAUGCUGCCGGAAGAAGCAGCAAGAGGAUGAAAAGCAAGGAGCGAAAGAGGGCCGAAAAGGAUCCUUAAUUCAAAAUGAAGGCAC
RNAcentral lists this long non-coding RNA (253 nucleotides) under Phoenix dactylifera (date palm). RNAcentral's name for it is "long non-coding RNA (PDAC_LNC008162)". The record is from RNAcentral. Lineage: Eukaryota; Viridiplantae; Streptophyta; Magnoliopsida; Arecales; Arecaceae.